UACCAGCCUUAGUGGACGCAGGUAAAA
This 27-nucleotide small RNA is filed under the name Bombyx mori (domestic silkworm). Its description in RNAcentral is "ovarian small RNA-20574". The record is from RNAcentral. Lineage: Eukaryota; Metazoa; Arthropoda; Insecta; Lepidoptera; Bombycidae.